CCGGAGGCUACUGCUAUCGGGGUUCGAUUAAGCCAUGCGAGUUAAAUGUUCUUCGUGAACAUAGCGAACUGCUCAGUAACACGUGGAUAACCUACCCUUAGGACCGGAAUAACCCCGGGAAACUGGGGAUAAUACCGGAUAAGCCAUAGACGCUGGAAUGCCCUAUGGUUCAAAGCUCCGGCGCCUAAGGAUGGAUCUGCGGUCUAUCAGGUUGUAGUGGGUGUAACGUACCUACUAGCCGACGACGGAUACGGGUUGUGAGAGCAAGAGCCCGGAGAUGGAUUCUGAGACACGAAUCCAGGCCCUACGGGGUGCAGCAGGCGCGAACACUUUACAAUGCGGGAAACCGCGAUAAGGGAACCCCGAGUGCCAGCAUCAAAUGUUGGCUGUCCAGAUGGUUAAAAAUCAUUUGUUAGCAAGGGCCGGGCAAGACCGGUGCCAGCCGCCGCGGUAACACCGGCGGCCCGAGUGGUAGCCGUUUUUAUUGGGUCUAAAGGGUCCGUAGCCGGCCUGAUAAGUCCUUUGGGAAAUCUGACAGCUUAACUGUCAGGCUUCUAAGGGAUACUGUCAGGCUUGGGACCGGAAGAGGUAAGGGGUACUCCAGGGGUAGGAGUGAAAUCUUGUAAUCCCUGGGGGACCAUCUGUGGCGAAGGCGCCUUACCAGAACGGGUCCGACGGUGAGGGACGAAAGCUAGGGGAGCAAACCGGAUUAGAUACCCGGGUAGUCCUAGCUGUAAACGAUGCUCGCUAGGUGUCAGACACGGUGCGACCGUGUUUGGUGCCGCAGGGAAGCCGUUAAGCGAGCCACCUGGGAAGUACGGUCGCAAGGCUGAAACUUAAAGGAAUUGGCGGGGGAGCACUACAACGGGUGGAGCCUGCGGUUUAAUUGGAUUCAACGCCGGA
RNAcentral lists this ribosomal RNA (903 nucleotides) under archaeon enrichment culture clone AOM-SR-A7. Its description in RNAcentral is "bacterial SSU rRNA". It matches the Rfam family "Archaeal small subunit ribosomal RNA", at positions 17 to 922 of the family's 1478-position model. The record is from RNAcentral.